This 254-nucleotide ribosomal RNA is filed under the name uncultured bacterium. RNAcentral describes it as "partial 16S ribosomal RNA". It matches the Rfam family "Bacterial small subunit ribosomal RNA", at positions 524 to 776 of the family's 1533-position model. The record is from RNAcentral.
UACGUAGGGUGCGAGCGUUGUCCGGAAUUAUUGGGCGUAAAGAGCUCGUAGGCGGUGUGUCGCGUCGGCCGUGAAAACCUGCAGCUUAACUGUGGGCUUGCGGUCGAUACGGGCAUCACUGGAGUUCGGCAGGGGAGACUGGAAUUCCUGGUGUAGCGGUGAAAUGCGCAGAUAUCAGGAGGAACACCGGUGGCGAAGGCAGGUCUCUGGGCAUUAACUGACGCUGAGGAGCGAAAGCAUGGGGAGCGAACAGG